This 446-nucleotide ribosomal RNA is filed under the name uncultured bacterium. RNAcentral describes it as "partial 16S ribosomal RNA". It matches the Rfam family "Bacterial small subunit ribosomal RNA", at positions 338 to 795 of the family's 1533-position model. The record is from RNAcentral.
CCUACGGGUGGCAGCAGUCGAGAAUCAUUCACAAUGGGGGAAACCCUGAUGGUGCGACGCCGCGUGGGGGAAUGAAGGUCUUCGGAUUGUAAACCCCUGUCAUGUGGGAGCAAAUUAAAAAGAUAGUACCACAAGAGGAAGAGACGGCUAACGCUGUGCCAGCAGCCGCGGUAAUACAGAGGUCUCAAGCGUUGUUCGGAAUCACUGGGCGUAAAGCGUGCGUAGGCUGUUUGGUAAGUCGUGUGUGAAAGGCGCGGGCUCAACCCGCGGACGGCACAUGAUACUGCGAGACUAGAGUAAUGGAGGGGGAGCCGGAAUUCUCGGUGUAGCAGUGAAAUGCGUAGAUAUCGAGAGGAACACUCGUGGCGAAGGCGGGUUCCUGGACAUUAACUGACGCUGAGGCACGAAGGCCAGGGGAGCGAAAAGGAUUAGAUACCCGUGUAGUC